This 1473-nucleotide long non-coding RNA is filed under the name Nicotiana benthamiana. Its description in RNAcentral is "long non-coding RNA (NBEN_LNC015851)". The record is from RNAcentral. Lineage: Eukaryota; Viridiplantae; Streptophyta; Magnoliopsida; Solanales; Solanaceae.
UCCGGCACCACCGUCUCCGGCGACCCAUCUCCAAACCAACCCAAAACAAUACCCCUGAACCACCUCCCCUCCCUCUUUCCACCAUUAAACCACACCCUUCGAAUCGUAACGGAUCGACUCGAAUACCAAAUCAAAAUUAACCUUAAACCCUAAAACUCACCAGAACUCGGUCAAAUUGGUCCCAGAUGACCCUCCCCUAUCCCUAUUCACAACCCUACCACCCACAACCCUCAAACACAACUAGGCACAAUGAAAAAUCAAAUCUGAGACCUCACCUUGUCUCAAAAUCAACGAACCCCCCACUUUAAGCCCUUUUCCCUCUCCAUUAUGAGAGGCAAAGACCUUGGAAGGUCUAAGGACCUCAGAAGAGUUCAAAAAUCCGAAGAUUUGGAAAAACCUUUUGUUUAGGGUUGCGAUGCUAAAAGUUGUCUCCGUGUGCUUUACUCCUUGUGUGUGCUUUCCUAUUCCAUUUGAUUUUAGUCGAUAUUUUAUUCUCUUGAGCUCAUUGUUCAUUUUUGAAAUUAUAUGCCUUCUCCUGCUUGAUUGAUUGUUAUUUGUUCUCUAUCUCACUUUGAGACCUCACCUUAUCUCAAAAUCAACGAACACCUCCCCCCUUAAACCCUUUUUCCCUCUUCAUUAUGAGAGGAAAAGACCUUGGAAGGUCCAAGGACCUCAGAAUAGGUCAAGAAUCCGAAGAUUUGGAAAAACCCUAUAUUUAGGUUUGCGAUGCUAGAUGCUAAGUCUCCGUGUGCUUUACUCUUUGUGUGUGCUUUCCUAUUCCAAUUGAUUUUAGUCGAUAUUUUAUUCGCUUGAGUUCAUCUGUUCAUUUUUGAAAUUAUAUGCCUUCUCCUGCUUGAUUGAUUGUUAUUUGUUCUCUAUCUCUCUUCAUUUUCAAAACAUGCUGGAUAGUCAUUUCUGUCUAGAGGCACAUGUUCUUGAAUUUCAUUGGUUGCGUUUGUGAUUCUGAACAAUUACUAUGUGUUCAUCCUGGAUUCCUUUAAUUUCAUUUUUUAUACAUAUAGCUAUUUGUUCAUCUUCUGAAACCCUGAGUAGUUGUCCCAGUAAUCAUCUCGCCCCUUUUUCCUUUUAUUGUUGCAUGUUCAAGUUCAUCCGUUCAUGUUGUCAUUUCUAAGGUACUGUAAAUAGUGGUGUCCAUCCAGAAUUACAUGUUCAUCCUUCUUUUCUUGAUAUUCCUGAUUUUCUAAUAGUUGUUAUACAUUUGUUCUUGUCCUCCUUUGUUUUAAGCUUCUCUAUUUUUAUUUCUAUUUUUGUGUGGAAAUCUUGGUUUGGUAUUGUCAUUUAGAGUCAUUAUUCUCGCACUGUUUCUCUUUUCUACUUGAUUUUUUGAUUUUCUUAUCUUCAUUUGUUUCAUUUGUUCAUCUUUGCAAUGUCCUGAAUACUCACCUCCUUACUUGUGCUUAAGGCUGGAUUAUUUGUCUUGAAUGGCCUGGUUAACAUUUGAACUCAUAGCCC